Molecule: long non-coding RNA, 1681 nt
Organism: Lycium barbarum (goji berry)
Lineage: Eukaryota; Viridiplantae; Streptophyta; Magnoliopsida; Solanales; Solanaceae
Exons: 2
Source: RefSeq, a predicted model, not a curated record
UUGACUCAAUUCAUUUCAACCAAAUAAAUUUUGGAUAAGUUAAUAUCUAUUUAUUAAUUCAGUUCUUUUUUUUAAAAUAAAAAUUAAGGAACGAAAGGUGGACAAGACAAACCCACAUUGGGAACCAAUAUUUCAAAAUUUUGAUGUUGGGUAUCGUCGACGUAGUAAUUAGGUGGCUUGUACGUAAGCAGCUUUAUCUUUGAACACUUGUUUUUUUCUCAGCAUUCCCUCCACAUGCAACUGGGGCCCAUAUACACACUAUCUGAGUAUAUCGCUUAAACUAAUAGAGACUAGUUUCCACUUAAAUACCAAUAUCAGAGUAGUAUUUUCUUGGCUUAACAAAUAUAUGCGCCCUCUAAAUUUGUCCUUUUUUUAUUUUUAUUUUGACAUUUCAAUUAAGUAUUGUUAUUACUAAGCCUCUAAACACAUUUUCAAGUGUAUCUAUUAAAUCUCCAAUUCUGAUUUUUAUUAGAAGCAAAAAUUAAAUUGGAAAAAUGAAGGUGGAGUAAUAUUUUAGACAUGUGAUAAGCUAUUCUUUAGGUCAUGAAUGUGUCGAUUUCUGCUAGUUUUGCUCUUACACUGGCAAUUUAAUUAAGAGCUACUCUUUUUUUUUCCCUCUCAAUUGUUGCUAAUCUUAGCUAAAAGAUAGCAUGAUUAAAUUAGAAUAUAUAUUAGCAUAUAUUAUAUAAGUCGAAUUGUGUUUGAUAUACACACUUGAGGAUGAGUUCAGGGAUUCGAUAGGAAUAGCAUAAUUGAGGUGUCAAAAUGGGGGAAAAAAAAGACAAGUUUAGGGCAGCAUAUGCAUUAAGCCUAUUUUCUUUGAGUUGCAUAUAAAGAACUCUUAGAACCAAAACUUAAAUAUGUGGAAAGCCUCAGUGAGAGGAAAGUUAGCAGCGGCGUUAUAUUAAUUUCUUCAUCAAUCUGAUGCAAGUUCAGAGUUACUUAAUACUCAUCAGAUCGAAGCAAAGGGUAACCAAACUAAUUGAGAACCUAAAUAUAUGCACAGACAGUCCACUUAUUUCAAGUAUCCACAGAGGAUUCUAAUUCACUAUAUAACUUGUUAGCAGUCAACUAAUCAAAUACCUCUUCCACCAGGAUUUCUGCAGAGAUCUCUUUUUCAGCUUCGACGUGGCUUUCAUAUCGUUGAAGGAUCCCUGUCAGACUGAAACAUACGAUGUCAGAUAUGAUUGUUGGUGAGCAAAUCAGUUUGUGUAUGUUUAAACUUGGAGUGCUUCAGAAAAUUCUCAACAUAUUUGAUGAUGGUCAAUCUCUUUGGGCAUUAGACACUAAACCAUCGAAUACCCUCUGCGUGAAUAACAAAAGGGAAGCCCUUUUAAUUAGUAAGGUAUAAGUUGUGGUGGGCGGGAUCCAAAACUAGGGUUCCUAAAAGCAUACCCUAUAUUAUAGACAAGUUUGAGAAAAGGGCAACCCCAAUAUACCACUAGACUACAUGUUAGCACAUCGACUGAAAAACCGUUGUUGCUUGCAGGGUCAAAAAUCUUUCUUUUGCUUUUCCUACCUGUCUCAAUUCUGAUUGACUGGUAUCUCCCUUUGAGCAAGCUCUUGGUUUGCAAUAGUUUGUAUUGUAUCUCACGCUUCAGUUUGCAUUUUCCGGAUAGCUGAGAUAAUGUUGAUUUUUUAUUUAAAUGUCAGCUAAUGUCAGCUCUUAUUUAUUCAUUCA